UACGUAGGAUGCGAGCGUUGUCCGGAAUUAUUGGGCGUAAAGAGAACGUAGGCGGUUUUAUAAGUUCGGUUUUAAAGACCGUGGCUCAACCUCGGGAGUGGACUGAAGACUGUAAGACUAGAGGAUGUCAGAGGAAGGUGGAAUUCCCAGUGUAGCGGUGAAAUGCGUAGAUAUUGGGAGGAACACCUGUGGCGAAAGCGGCCUUCUGGGGCAUACCUGACGCUGAGGUUCGAAAGCUCGGGGAGCAAACAGGAUUAGAUACCCUGGUAGUCCGAGCCGUAAACGAUGGACACUGGGUGUAGAGGGUAUCGACCCCCUCUGUGCCGUAGCUAACGCGUUAAGUGUCCCGCCUGGGGAGUACGGUCGCAAGACUGAA
Molecule: ribosomal RNA, 376 nt
Filed under: uncultured bacterium
Lineage: Bacteria
Description: bacterial SSU rRNA
Rfam family: Bacterial small subunit ribosomal RNA
Source: RNAcentral